CACCACUCAAGUGUCUCCUUAAGAAUUUGGCUACUCUCUCUCUUUCCCCAGAUCUCAAGCCCAAAAUUCUUAUCAGAUUCUGUACCCAAGAUUGGCCCGCAUAUCCGUUAGAUAAUGAGAAUCAUUGGCCUCCAGAAGGCUCGUUAGAUCCAAACCUUCUUCAGGAUCUUCUUAACUACUGCCUGCGCCUAAAAAAAUGGAGAGAAGUCCCAUACAUUGAAGGUUUUAGCCUUCUCGCCCAACACCCUGCCCUCUGCACUUCCUGCUCUCCCUCUCAGGUCCUCCUUGCUUGUAAACCCCUCCCUUCCCCUACUUCUUCCCCUGACUGUGCAGAUUCUUCCUCAUUUGACCCAGCAGAUGAACCUCCACCUUAUCCCCCAGCCCCAUCCGCCCCUCCUCUCCCGCUACACCCUCCGCUUCUUCCGCCUGAUUCCACCGAUCCUCAGCCUUCUGUUUCAUCCCCCUCCCCCCAGCUCUCUUCCGCCGGUUCCAUCUCCUCCUCUGCUGAGACAUCCCCUUCCCCUCCCUCUACUUCCUGUCCGCCGCCAACUGCCUCUUUCAGUCCUCCUGUCACCAGGUCUAAGGGACCCCCUCCUACUCCCGUGACAAUUGCACCGCUUCCUGAGGUAGCUGGUCCUGAGGGUGUUAUUAGAGUACAUGUGCCUUUCUCCAUGUUGGACAUUACUCAGUUAGAGAGGAAGUUAGGCUCAUUCAUCACUUAUCCCACAACUUACAUUCGGGAGUUCCAGUGGGUCCUGCAGGCAUACAGCCUUACCCAUCACGACAUCUACAUGCUCCUGGCCAAUACACUUCUCCCUGAGGAAAGGCAACGGGUCUGGGAGCUAGCCCAAGCCCAUGCUGAUGAAAAUCAUAGGACCAAUCCCAAC
Molecule: long non-coding RNA, 887 nt
Filed under: Marmota monax (woodchuck)
Lineage: Eukaryota; Metazoa; Chordata; Mammalia; Rodentia; Sciuridae
Source: RNAcentral